CGCGGGCUGUCUCACGUUGCGAUUACGUAAACAAACAGAUUUUUCGCGUGCUCGCCAAAUUCGAACAUGUGAAUGAUUUUGAGUCAAAAUCGAUUAGUUACAUUUGUUUUUUAUAAGAAGUAACGGGAUAACUUAAAACGAAUAUAGCACAUACUCAUAUGGAUUACUUUUUUUUUUGGAAUUUAUUUAUUCAUUUAUUUGAAUCAUGCUUCCAUCUGUCAUCCGGGUGUCUCACUGAUGAAAACACCAGUUUGAAGCUACAUCAGGCAUCCAUUCACUGCAGAGGAUUCAUUGCUGAGCAAGUGAUGGAAUGCUAAUUUCCUCCAAAUUAGUUCUGAUAAAGAAACAAACUCAUCUACAUCUCGGAUGACCUGAGGUGCUGCCCAUCUGUUGUGAACAUGGGAUCAUGAUACAGACAUUAAGAACAGAGGAAUUUGCAGUGUCUGGUCGGAAAAAAAGCAGGAAUGCCAUUUCUCACCACUCAUUUGGAGAGGCUUCCUCAAGGACUCUUCAGGGAGUCAUACCACUCUCAUGACCUACCAUGACUGUUCUUACUUUCUUUGGACCUGAUUGUUUCUCAAGAAAUAUAUCAGUUGUUUGGCUACUGCAUCCUGCCUCUCAGACAUAAAACUUUUGUUUAUUUUUCUCAAUAAUAAAGACUAGUGCACUCUUUAAAUGACUUUUAAAGAUGUAUGUAGUUAAUGAGUUGAUGAAAUAUUUACCUAUAGGUUAUGCAGCUGGUCAUAUUAUUAUAUCCAGAUAUUAUAAAUGUUUCUAAUUAUGUCAUACUUAGUCUAGAACUCUAGAAAGAGACAUUAUAAUUGAGACAUCAGAGUUUGCAAUGUAACUUAAUAUCAUUGUUUUAAUGCAAAACCUGCUGCAGAAAAUUUGUUUGUGUAAAUGACUUGAAAUAUCAGGUCUGUAUCUCAUAGUCCGCAAAUCUACUGGAUCUGCUUUUGCCUAAAGAGUACAGAACUCCAGAACCAGUGAAGGCCUCUUAGCAGUCAUAGAAAAGUAUUUUGAAAUUGAGCACAGGCUGUGGAAGAAAAAAACAGGCUUUAGGAAGAAGAGAUUCUGAAUUUUUCACUGUGUGAGUUAUGAGUGUGGAUGAAAGAUGGGUAUAGGUGAUGAUGUCGCAUCCCACAUAUGGAGGUCGGUCACGAGUCACUGGUGCCUGUGCUGUUACUACUUGGGUCAAAUGCCAGACAGUGUGUCAUGCAUAAUGAUUCUAGUGCAUGAUGGAUAGUAACCCUCACUUACAUCUAAAGUGAAAUUGUCCAUGAUAAACUGCAGUUAAAUAUGUUUUUACGCUAGCCAUUUGUGGACUCACUGGAAACCAACGAUAUUCACCAUAUAUCAUAAGUACAAUAAAUUGUGCUUGGCCAGGCCUCUAUAGAUUUUGUUUUUGAGGCAUCUGUGUAUGGGGAUGCAGGGAAAUGUUCUUUAUGUCUCUCUUUGUGUGUCUGCAUCUUGUUUUAAUCUGUAUUUUUGCCAUUAUUUUUUACCUG
Long non-coding RNA from Cyprinus carpio carpio, 1508 nucleotides. The record is from Ensembl. NCBI's taxonomy places the organism in Eukaryota, Metazoa, Chordata, Actinopteri, Cypriniformes, Cyprinidae.